UCAUUCAAACCAGCACACCCUGUCUCAAGACAGGAAGGUGGAGAGCAGGACAGCUAAUGCCCUCCCCUGGCCUCUGCACAUGCACACAUGCACACAUAGGUACAUGUACUGGCACAGACAUGCUUACAGCACACACAGACACACACGCAUGCACUUGGAUAAGUUGCUUUAUAACCUGGAGAGACGCCUCGGCAGUUAAAAGCACUGGUCACUCUUCCAGAGAACCCAGGCGCAGUUCCCAGCACCCACAAUCUUCAGUGACUCCAGUUCCAGAGACUCUAACACCCACCUCAAGCCUCCGCAGGCAUCACACAUGCACACAGUUCACAGACACGCAUUCUGGCAAAAUACAUAAAAGAAUGUUUUGUUUUUCAAGAGAGGGUCUCCCUACAUAGCUCUUGCUGUCCUGGAACUCGGUCUGUAGACCACGCCAGCCUCGAACUCAGAAAGUUCUGCUUGCCUUGUCCUCCUGAGUGCUGAGAUUAAAGGUGUACACCACUA
RNAcentral lists this long non-coding RNA (501 nucleotides) under Rattus norvegicus (Norway rat). RNAcentral describes it as "long non-coding RNA NONRATT004425". The record is from RNAcentral. Lineage: Eukaryota; Metazoa; Chordata; Mammalia; Rodentia; Muridae.